RNAcentral lists this ribosomal RNA (552 nucleotides) under uncultured archaeon. RNAcentral's name for it is "bacterial SSU rRNA". It matches the Rfam family "Archaeal small subunit ribosomal RNA", at positions 325 to 879 of the family's 1478-position model. The record is from RNAcentral.
ACGGGGUGCAGCAGGCGCGAAAACUUUGCAAUAAGCGAAAGCUUGACAGGGCUAUCCCGAGUGCCAUCCGCCGAGGAAGGCUUUUACCCAGCCUAGUAAGCUGGGGGAAUAAGGAGAGGGCAAGUCUGGUGUCAGCCGCCGCGGUAAUACCAGCUCUCCGAGUGGUGUGGAUAAUUAUUGGGCCUAAAGCAUCCGUAGCCGGCUAAGCAAGUUCCCUGUUAAACCCACCGAUUUAAUCGUUGGAUUGCGGGGAAUACUGUUCAGCUAGGGGACGGGAGAGGCCGACGGUAUUUCCGGGGUAGGGGUGAAAUCCUAUAAUCCCGGGAGGACCACCAGUGGCGAAGGCUGUCGGCUAGAACGCGCCCGACGGUGAGGGGUGAAAGCUGGGGGAGCGAACCGGAUUAGAUACCCGGGUAGUCCCGGCUGUAAACGAUGCAGGCUAGGUGUUUGGGUGGCCACGUGCCGCUCUAGUGCCGCAGGGAAGCUGUUAAGCCUGCCGCCUGGGGAGUACGACCGCAAGGCUGAAACUUAAAGGAAUUGGCGGGGGAGCAC